This is a long non-coding RNA of Alosa alosa (allis shad), 1061 nucleotides long. RefSeq lists it as uncharacterized. NCBI's taxonomy places the organism in Eukaryota, Metazoa, Chordata, Actinopteri, Clupeiformes, Clupeidae. The record is from RefSeq and is a predicted model, not a curated record. The transcript is spliced from 2 exons.
GACAGGUCUAAAUCUAGAGACAUGGCGGAUCAUGUGACUGCUGUUGCUGAGCAAGUCGCAGCAAUGCUGCCUGAACUCAGAGGGAGCAUUGUGGAUCGCAAAGUCACCAUUGAGCUGACCAACCAUGCAGAAACAGCUCUGUCUCAUCCUCAGGUUCACAUGUCGACAGGACAAGUCUUGGAUCCUCCACCACCAACAAUACCUGCAAAGGAAGAUUCCGCUUUUUCCUGCAGCAGGCAUGAUUCACUCUUGCAAUUACUCUAUGGUGUCAUCACCUAUGAUGUGUGUGCAUGUAACCAAGAAGCAUAUCGUAUUGCCAUCAUGUUCUAUGUCCCUUACAAUAGGUUGUCAUAUUCAAAUGAAUUUGGCAUUGGUAUUUUUACCCCUGACACAGUCUGUGAUUGGAAACUGCUCAAACACAUGUAUUACUGUGAUACUGUGCUAAUGGCAGUGAGCUGAGUUUCAAGGGUAUUAAGUACAUUGUCAAGGGAAUAAUGUCACAGACAGCUAAUGCCACAAUGAAAGUAGAGAUCCACCAAGGCUAACCUUUAAGACAUGGCAAAGGGUAAACAUCAGAGGGAGAUGAAAUCAUUAAGAUGAAUAUGACAUUUCCAAAAAUGAUUUGUUGCUGAUUUUUCUUUUUCUUUUUUUGGAUCCAAGAUUUUAACUCUGUGAGAACUAUCAACUGUGCUGGGUGUUUGCGUUGUGCUUUUAGAAAUUGUUCAUGACAGGGAUUCAGAAAACCAGAGUUUGUAGACGAUUGUAAGCCCUGUAAUCCAUAUAAUCAGGCAGUUUCUAUAUUUUAUAAUACAGACUGACCAGCUAUUGUUUUCCUUGAAUCACAGUUUCUACAACUUAACCAUUCAGAACAGCAGAAUUGUUUAGAAUUGUUGUUCAAGACAUAUUGUCAAAAAUUGAUUUUCUAUUAAAGAUGUAUUGUAUGUGUUAUCAUGAUUUUUAAUUAUCAACACCUGUCAUAAUCGAUUGCUGUUAAUAAACGUUCUGUAUCACUACAUGAUGUUUUGUGGCUUGCAGUCAAAUAAACAGCAAAUGCAAAAGGA